This 483-nucleotide ribosomal RNA is filed under the name uncultured bacterium. RNAcentral describes it as "partial 16S ribosomal RNA". It matches the Rfam family "Bacterial small subunit ribosomal RNA", at positions 29 to 507 of the family's 1533-position model. The record is from RNAcentral.
AUCGAACGCUGGCGGCAGGCCUAACACAUGCAAGUCGAGCGGAUGAAGCGGGCUUGCUCCUGGAUUCAGGGGUGGACGGGUGGGUAAUGCCUAGGAAUCUGCCUGGUAGUGGGGGAUAACGUCCGGAAACGGGCGCUGAUACCGCAUACGUCUUGAGAUAGGAAUUGGGGGAGCUUCGGACCUCACGCAAUGAGAUGAGCGUAGGUGGGGUUAGGUAGGUGGUGGGGUAAAGUCCUACCAAGGCGAUGACCCGUAACUGGUCUGAGAGGAUGACCAGUCACAGUGGAACUGGGACACGGUCCAGACUCCGACGGGAGGCAGCGGUGGGGAAUAUGGGACAUGGAGCGAAGGCGUGAUCCAGCCAUGCCGCGUGGGUGAAGAAGGGCUUCGGAUUGUGAAGCACGUUAAGUUGGGAGGAGGGGAAGUAAGUUAAUACCUAGGUGUUUGGCGGUUACCGAAAGAGUAGGCACCGCUAACCUCGUU